GUGCCAGCAGCCGCGGUAAUACGUAGGGGGCAAGCGUUGUCCGGAAUUAUUGGGCGUAAAGCGCGCGCAGGCGGCCUUGUCAGUCUGGUGUAUAAGCCUUGGGCUCAACCGAAGGACGCACCGGAAACUGCAAAGCUUGAGUGCAGAAGAGGAAAGUGGAAUUCCACGUGUAGCGGUGAAAUGCGUAGAGAUGUGGAGGAACACCAGUGGCGAAGGCGACUUUCUGGGCUGUAACUGACGCUGAGGCGCGAAAGCGUGGGGAGCAAACAGGAUUAGAAACCCCGGUAGUCC
RNAcentral lists this ribosomal RNA (291 nucleotides) under uncultured bacterium. Its description in RNAcentral is "partial 16S ribosomal RNA". It matches the Rfam family "Bacterial small subunit ribosomal RNA", at positions 505 to 796 of the family's 1533-position model. The record is from RNAcentral.